UACGUAGGCGGAAAAUUAAGUCAGUAGUGAAAUCCCGCAGCUUAACUGUGGAACUGUUAUUGAUACUGGUUUUCUUGAAUAUAGUUGAGGUAGGCGGAAUGUGUAAUGUAGCGGUGAAAUGCUUAGAUAUUACACAGAACACCGAUUGCGAAGGCAGCUUACUAAGCUAUGAUUGACGCUGAGGUAAGAAAGCGUGGGGAGCGAACAGGAUUAGAUACCCUGGUAGUCC
Molecule: ribosomal RNA, 229 nt
Filed under: uncultured bacterium
Lineage: Bacteria
Description: partial 16S ribosomal RNA
Rfam family: Bacterial small subunit ribosomal RNA
Source: RNAcentral